UGGGGGAUAUUGCACAAUGGGCGAAAGCCUGAUGCAGCGACGCCGCGUGGGGGAUGAAGGCCUUCGGGUUGUAAACUUCUUUUGCUCUGAACAAGGCAUGCCUUUGGGGUGUGUUGAGUGUAGGGGUUGAUUAGCGCCGGCUAACUACGUGCCAGCAGCCGCGGUAAUACGUAGGGCGCGAGCGUUGUCCGGAAUUAUUGGGCGUAAAGGGCUUGUAGGUGGCUGGUUGCGUCUGUCGUGAAAGCUCAUGGCUUAACUGUGGGUUUGCGGUGGGUACGGGCUGGCUUGAGUGCAGUAGGGGAGGCUGGAAUUCCUGGUGUAGCGGUGGAAUGCGCAGAUAUCAGGAGGAAUACGGGUGGCGAAGGCGGGUCUCUGGGCUGUUACUGACGCUGAGGAGCGAAAGCGUAGGGAGCGAACAGG
Molecule: ribosomal RNA, 420 nt
Filed under: Fusobacteriota bacterium
Lineage: Bacteria; Fusobacteriati; Fusobacteriota
Description: Fusobacteria bacterium partial 16S ribosomal RNA
Rfam family: Bacterial small subunit ribosomal RNA
Source: RNAcentral